AUUGAUUUUAUGCUUGCAUAAAUGAUUUUUUGGAUUCGGAGCGAGUGGCGAACUGGUGAGUAACACGUGGGUAACCUGCCCCGAAGCGGGGGAUAACAUUUGGAAACAAGUGCUAAUACCGCAUAAUUAGUUGGAACCGCAUGGUUCCAACUUGAAAGAUGGCUCUGCUAUCACUUUGGGAUGGACCCGCGCCGUAUUAGUUAGUUGGAGAGAUAAAAGCCCACCAAGACGAUGAUACGUAGCCGACCUGAGAGGGUAAUCGGCCACAUUGGGACUGAGACACGGCCCAGACUCCUACGGGAGGCAGCAGUAGGGAAUCUUCCACAAUGGACGAAAGUCUGAUGGAGCAACGCCGCGUGAGUGAUGAAGGUUUUCGGAUCGUAAAACUCUGUUGUUAAAGAAGAACAAGUGUUAGAGUAACUGUUAACACUUUGACGGUAUUUAACCAGAAAGCCACGGCUAACUACGUGCCAGCAGCCGCGGUAAUACGUAGGUGGCAAGCGUUGUCCGGAUUUAUUGGGCGUAAAGCGAGCGCAGGCGGUUUUGUAAGUCUGCUGUGAAAGCCCUCAGCUCAACUGAGGAAGUGCAGUGGAAACUACAAAACUUGAGUACAGAAGAGGAAAGUGGAACUCCAUGUGUAGCGGUGAAAUGCGUAGAUAUAUGGAAGAACACCAGUGGCGAAGGCGGCUUUCUGGUCUGUUACUGACGCUGAGGCUCGGAAGCAUGGGUAGCGAACAGGAUUAGAUACCCUGGUAGUCCAUGCCGUAAACGAUGAAUACUAGGUGUUGGAGGGUUUCCGCCCUUCAGUGCCGCAGCUAACGCAUUAAGUAUUCCGCCUGGGGAGUACGACCGCAAGGUUGAAACUCAAAGGAAUUGACGGGGGCCCGCACAAGUGGUGGAGCAUGUGGUUUAAUUCGAUGCUACGCGAAGAACCUUACCAGCUCUUGACAUCUUCUGCCAACCCAAGAGAUUGGGCGUUCCCUUCGGGGACAGAAUGACAGGUGGUGCAUGGUUGUCGUCAGCUCGUGUCGUGAGAUGUUGGGUUAAGUCCCGCAACGAGCGCAACCCUUAUUAUUAGUUGCCAGCAUUUAGUUGGGCACUCUAGUGAGACUGCCGGUGAUAAA
RNAcentral lists this ribosomal RNA (1124 nucleotides) under uncultured bacterium. RNAcentral's name for it is "bacterial SSU rRNA". It matches the Rfam family "Bacterial small subunit ribosomal RNA", at positions 47 to 1162 of the family's 1533-position model. The record is from RNAcentral.